Molecule: ribosomal RNA, 159 nt
Filed under: Syringa vulgaris (common lilac)
Lineage: Eukaryota; Viridiplantae; Streptophyta; Magnoliopsida; Lamiales; Oleaceae
Description: 5.8S ribosomal RNA
Rfam family: 5.8S ribosomal RNA
About the family: 5.8S ribosomal RNA (5.8S rRNA) is a component of the large subunit of the eukaryotic ribosome.
Source: RNAcentral
CGACUCUCGGCAACAGAUAUCUCGGCUCUCGCAUCGAUGAAGAACGCAGCAAAAUGCGAUACUUGGUGUGAAUUGCAGAAUCCCGUGAACCAUCGAGUUUUUAAACGCAAGUUGCGCUCGAAGCCAUUAUGUUGAGGGCACGUCUACCUGGGCAUCACG